RNAcentral lists this ribosomal RNA (664 nucleotides) under Punctoribates zachvatkini. Its description in RNAcentral is "partial large subunit ribosomal RNA". It matches the Rfam family "Eukaryotic large subunit ribosomal RNA", at positions 544 to 1163 of the family's 3401-position model. Lineage: Eukaryota; Metazoa; Arthropoda; Arachnida; Sarcoptiformes; Punctoribatidae. The record is from RNAcentral.
GGAGUGACCGCAUGGGAUCUAAACUUAAACAAACUUUAGCUUUCAUUGCGCCUCUCUGCUAAACAAGACCGAGUGACUCGCACACAUGUUAGACUCCUUUGAGACCCGUCCUGAAACACGGACCAAGGAGUCUAACAUGUGUGCGAGUCACUCGGUCUUGUUUAGGCCAGAGAGGCGCAAUGAAAGUAAAGUUUGUUAAGUUACGAUCCCCAUGCGGUCACUCCCUGGUGGGUGACGGUGGGGCGCAGUAACGGCCCGCCAAUUUCGCCUAUUGACGAUCUGGCGGAGUCGUAGCAUACACGUUGGUACCCGAAAGAUGGUGAACUAUGCCUGGGCAAGACGAAGCCAGAGGAAACUCUGGUGGAGGUCUGUAGCGAUUCUGACGUGCAAAUCGAUCGUCAGACCUGGGUAUAGGGGCGAAAGACUAAUCGAACCAUCUAGUAGCUGGUUCCCUCUGAAGUUUCCCUCAGGAUAGCAGACACGCGGUGAGAUUCAGUCUCAUCCGGUAAAGCUAAUGAUUAGAGGCAUUGGGGUCGAAACGACCUCAACCUAUUCUCAAACUUUAAAUGGGUGAGAAGUAUGACUUGUUUGAUUAAAGCCAUACUCUCGGAUGUAUGCGUGCCUAGUGGGCCAUUUUUGGUAAGCAGAACUGGCCGCUGUGGGA